GCUUCCUAUCACAACUGCUCUAAGUAUAGAAUGUUAAACCACAGACUUAGGCAAAGAUUAAAAAAAAAGCUAUUAGAUCAAAUUAAAAUAUGAAUACCUUCUAUGACAAAAUCAAAAAUUUAAAACUGUAAUACAUUUUAUUUUAGCCCACU
This is a long non-coding RNA of Lutra lutra (Eurasian river otter), 152 nucleotides long. RefSeq lists it as uncharacterized. The transcript is spliced from 3 exons. The record is from RefSeq and is a predicted model, not a curated record. NCBI's taxonomy places the organism in Eukaryota, Metazoa, Chordata, Mammalia, Carnivora, Mustelidae.